RNAcentral lists this ribosomal RNA (497 nucleotides) under uncultured bacterium. RNAcentral describes it as "partial 16S ribosomal RNA". It matches the Rfam family "Bacterial small subunit ribosomal RNA", at positions 28 to 507 of the family's 1533-position model. The record is from RNAcentral.
GACGAACGCUGGCGGCGUGCCUAAUACAUGCAAGUAGAACGCUGAAGAGAGGAGCUUUCUCUUCUUGGAUGAGUUGCGAACGGGUGAGUAACGCGUAGGUAACCUGCCUUGUAGAGGGGGAUAACUAUUUGAAACGAUAGCUAAUACCGCAUAACAAUGGAUCACACAUGUCAUUUAAUCGAAAGGGGCAAUUGUUCCACUACAAUAUGGACGUGCGUUGUAUUAGCUAGUAGGUGAGGUAAUGGCUCACCUAGGCGACGAUACAUAGCCGACCUGGGAGGGGGAUCUGCCACACUGGGACCUAGACACGGCCCAGACUCCUACGGGAGGCAGCAGUAGGGAAUCUUCGGCAAUGGGGGCAACCCUGACCGGGCAACGCCGCGUGAGUGAAGAAGGUUUUCGGAUCGUAAAGCUCUGUUGUAAGUCAAGAAAGGGUGUGAGAGUGGAAAGUUCACACUGUGACGGUAGCUUACCAGAAAGGGACGGCUAACUACGUG